RNAcentral lists this ribosomal RNA (121 nucleotides) under Algoriphagus pacificus. RNAcentral describes it as "Algoriphagus sp. YJ13C partial 23S ribosomal RNA". It matches the Rfam family "Bacterial large subunit ribosomal RNA", at positions 1 to 121 of the family's 2925-position model. The record is from RNAcentral. Lineage: Bacteria; Pseudomonadati; Bacteroidota; Cytophagia; Cytophagales; Cyclobacteriaceae.
GAGUAAGUGAAUAAGGGCGCACGGGGGAUGCCUAGGCUCUCAGAGGCGAAGAAGGACGUGAUAAGCUGCGAAAAGCUACGGGGAUUGGCCAAUGCGAGUUGAUCCGUAGAUAUCCGAAUGG